Molecule: ribosomal RNA, 468 nt
Filed under: uncultured bacterium
Lineage: Bacteria
Description: partial 16S ribosomal RNA
Rfam family: Bacterial small subunit ribosomal RNA
Source: RNAcentral
GACGAACGCUGGCGGCGUGCUUAACACAUGCAAGUCGAACGGAAAGGCCCUGCUUUUGUGGGGUGCUCGAGUGGCGAACGGGUGAGUAACACGUGAGUAACCUGCCCUUGACUUUGGGAUAACUUCAGGAAACUGGGGCUAAUACCGGAUAGGAGCUCCUGCUGCAUGGUGGGGGUUGGAAAGUUUCGGCGGUUGGGGAUGGACUCGCGGCUUAUCAGCUUGUUGGUGGGGUAGUGGCUUUCCAAGGCUUUGACGGGUAGCCGGCCUGAGAGGGUGACCGGCCACAUUGGGACUGAGAUACGGCCCAGACUCCUACGGGAGGCAGCAGUGGGGAAUAUUGCACAAUGGGCGGAAGCCUGAUGCAGCAACGCCGCGUGCGGGAUGACGGCCUUCGGGUUGUAAACCGCUUUCGCCUGUGACGAAGCGUGAGUGACGGUAAUGUGUAAAGAAGCACCGGCUAACUACGUG